CUCACAGCUCCAUUCGCGAGUAAUCUUCACCAGCUCCAACAAAUCCAUUCUCUAAUUUGGUGGGUGGAUGGGUAGUAUGCUAAUAGUAUGGUCUCUGUUUUGGUUUGUUUUGUAUGUGUAAGUGCAGGUAUUGGCGCUCGGUAAAGUGGUAGGAAGGAGGGUGUUAAGUAUAAGAAUCAGGGGGUGGAGUUUACUGGUGUUUUAGUUACUCCAUCGUGAGCUUUUACUUCCCCAUUGGUAGUUGACUCCUCUCUUCUACAUUGGUAGUUGACUCCUCUCUUCUACAUCAAACAUCAAUAUGGGGGAUAUUGUAUUUAGUAGUAUUUUGCUUGGUGAGUUGUCCUUCCCCUAUCAUAUUUCUUAUCCCAUCAGAUUUAGAUUUGGUGCUUUUGAUUGUCAUAAGAUGGAUUCUCGUCUUCCAUUUGUGUUUCUUGGCAGGGCCCAACGUAAGGAGGACAAAGGCAGGUGGUGGGGUACCCAGGGUUCGGACCAGGUAGCCAUGAUUGACAGAGGGUGGGGAUGGAGCGUCCAUUAUCAAGCUACCACUAGAGACCUCGUAAAAGAAGAUCCUAGCCAUGAAUCAGGCUCUGCCAUCCCAAAGAAGGAUGCACACCAGCAACAACAUGGAGUACACUGGCAGACCGGUGAUGACGGAGCGGAGGAGGGUAUGAAUGCCUACCGGAGAGAGGCAUUCAUGUUUCCAAGUAUGUAGUCUUUGGGAAAUUUGUCCUUCAAAUAACCCAAAUGUUAUAACUCUGGAAUGCAGCACAAUUGAAGGAAGACCCAGGUACCGAUCUGUGUCUGUUGCAAUAGGUGCACCAAGUAAGCGAGCGUAAACCUGUUGUACGUCUAGAGACACAUUGGAACUGAAGUGUACUAUUGAUUCCAACAGAUUUUUACACGUUCGCCACACAUUGCUUCUAGAGGACGAGCAGAUUACGGAAAGUACCAAUAAUGGUAGAGGAGACUUGGAGAACCAGUGUUGUGUCGUCAGCGAACAUAAGGUGAGAGAUAACUGGGGUCGAGCGAGAGACUCCUAUGCCACAAAGCAGAGUGGCACGUCGAUGAUUGUGAAUUAGCGGUGUUAGCCCUUCAAAGCAAAGGGCAAAGAGUAGGGGCGACAGGGGGUCACCAUGAUGGAGACCCCUCAAAGGACUAAAGAAACCAUAUGGGGACCCAUUAACCAAGGCCGAUAUAAUUGUAGAAGAUAAGCAUUCCACAACAAGACUUAGCCAUUGAUUUGGGAACCCGAGUCGCUCAAGCAAGAGAAAAAGGAAAUCCCAUUCAACGCUGUUAUAUGCCUUCUCCAUAUCAUGCUUGAGAGCCAUGAAAUGGCGGCUGAAAGUGUGAAACUUGAGAAAGUGCAUGGGUUCAUGGGAUAGGAGGACAUUAUCCAUGAUGGAGCGUUGUCUGACAAAUCUAUUUUGAUUUAUGCUGACGAUGGAAGGGAGAAUCGCACCAAGUUUGGCUGUGAUGAUCUUGGAUAUGAUUUUGUAGAAGACCGUAUAGAGGAUAAUAGGUCUCAGCAGGCGCAUAGAAUCAGCCUCGUCCACUUUGGAAAGGAGAGUAAGCCAAGUAUGGUUUAAAGAUCGAAGAAGCCGGACAGAUCGGAAGAACUCAUGUGCUGCCGCUGUGAUAUCUGACCCCACAAUUGACCAAAAGCGAUGGAAGAAGAGACCUGUGAAGCCAUCCGACCUUGGAACUUCAAUCAAACCAAUUGAAAAGACAUCAAUGCAAAUUUCAAUAGCGAAGACAGUUGCUUCCAGAGCCAUGGCCAUCCUGGCGGUGAUAAGGGUAUGAAUGUCCAGAGAGCUGAGGUCAGGUGGCCCCACUAAUUGGGAGCUAAAUAGUUGUUUAUAAAAGUUUAGUUCUAGGGAGCCUUUAUCAACCUCCGAGGAUAGCGGAUGCCUGAUUAUGAGACUAGAUCACCUAGACGGUUACGUUUCCUGGAAGCUUGAACAGAGCGAUGGAAACAUACGGUAUUGCAAUCUCCACCUUGGUGCCAACCAAAUCGGCCUUUUGAUGCCAGUACAUGUCUUCCUGGUGACGUGCUGAGUCAAGAUCUAUUUCUAAUCGACGAACUUCCCCAGGGGACAGGUUUUUAUCCCAAAGCCAACCAAUAAGCAUCCUUAAGGUCAUCUAAUAGUCUGGCAGAGUUGGAUGUGCCGGCACGACACCCAUCAAAUAACGCGUAACGGAGGGUUUUUAGAUUGUGGCGCGGGCGAAACAUAAUCUUACUAGUAGGGGGUUGGAUUUCUCAGUAGUCCUCCACCAGACCACCAACCUCCUGAUUAUUGGCCCACCAACAGUCAAAGUGGAACAACCGUUUAGCAUGUGGUGUGGAUUGCAUAGCAGUGAAGAAAAUGGAAGCAUGAUCUGAGGUGACCAGGAGGAGUUGGCGAACAGUUGCCUCUGGCCAACCAUCUAACCAAGAGGCUGAGGAUAGGAAGCGGUCCAAGCAUUUUUGGAUUUUAUCUUGGCCUUGAUGGUAGGAUUUUAUCUUGGCCUUGAUGGUAGUUGGACCAAGUGAAAUCGGCACCUUGAUAACCCAAGUCAACAAGACUUUGAAAAGAAACGAACGUUUGGCAGCAAUCCACACGGGCCAGAAUCGACGGGCGACCCCCUUGCUGUUCAGAGUGGAUUAAGAUGUCAUUAAAAUCUCCAAAACAAAGGAGGGGACCAUCGAGAUCAGAGAGAAUAUGUUCAAGGUGUGAAUAUUGAGAGUCUCAGACUUGGUAAUCGAUAGAAAGAUGGACUCCAAUCAAAUAAACCAACUUCAAUGCUUUGUAUUCAUAACAAAUUCGCAAUGCAAAGGAUGUAGAACACACCAUAGUACUAGAAGUAGGAAACACACUAGCUAAAGCAAGACUAGUGUCCUAACGUGCUGUAUGAGAAAAAAUUGAAAAGGAAAAACCAAGAGACAAAAGUAACGAGGAACAAUCAGAAUUAGACAAACAAGCUUCACAAAGGAAAAGAAAUUGCGAGGUGAGACAACAGACAUAAUCUUUAAGAUCCCGAAACUGUCAAGGUGCCGCCAAGUCCCCGACAGUUCCAAGCAAAAGCAAUCAUACCACCAUGGUAGGCUCGUCACUUGCAAGCACACCGUCGAUGCCGUAAUGGGAAGAUUCUGUCGGACGACAAGUCCAAGUUGAAGAACUGGCAGAUUCCAUGGAUUUUCUAGGAGAAUUCGG
RNAcentral lists this long non-coding RNA (3191 nucleotides) under Linum usitatissimum (flax). Its description in RNAcentral is "long non-coding RNA (LUSI_LNC006036)". The record is from RNAcentral. Lineage: Eukaryota; Viridiplantae; Streptophyta; Magnoliopsida; Malpighiales; Linaceae.